Hemicordylus capensis (graceful crag lizard) is the source of this 575-nucleotide long non-coding RNA. RefSeq lists it as uncharacterized. The transcript is spliced from 5 exons. NCBI's taxonomy places the organism in Eukaryota, Metazoa, Chordata, Lepidosauria, Squamata, Cordylidae. The record is from RefSeq and is a predicted model, not a curated record.
UGUAAAGGAUAGCAGGCAGGGGUCUGCAAAAAGACAGGUGGUGAAGGAGGAAAGAGCCCCUUCAGGAGAAGGAGGAUGCCGUUGUGUGUAUAGUGGAUCUUUCUCUUUCUUCUAACCACCCUUGGCUGUACCAUCUGCAGGAAGAUCAAAGACAGGGUCAUAUCCAUCUAAUAACAGGAGAGGAAACAAUGCUGCAGAGGCAUUGGCCCAUCUUAACCUGUAGCAGAAAUACCCAGGAAGCAAGCACCCUAGAUUACAGAGGAAUGCCAGGUUUUGUCUCUGGCCGGCACAAUGGAAGAGAAGAAUAGAGAACUUGAUUGCAUGACAGCAGUCUGAGAAAGCAAUAUAAAGAACACCAACUUCAGUCUGGAGUAAAUUUUUAGUGUAAAUGAGUGUGAAAUUGGACUUUCAAAAGAGAAGAACUACCAGGCACAUUGAAAAGUGACCCCCUGGGAUGUCUGAAUAAGGAGAAUGGGGGAAGAAAGUCUGAAGGACCUGAGGGACAUCACACCAAUUUUACACAGAUAUUGUGAGAAGUAACAAGACAAUGAUUACAAAGUGUUUUGUACAUUAGA